GAUGCGAGCGUUAUCCGGAUUUAUUGGGUUUAAAGGGUGCGUAGGCGGACGGUUAAGUUAGCGGUAAAAUCGAGAGGCUCAACCUCUUUCCGCCGUUGAAACUGCCGUGCUUGAGUGGGCGAGAAGUAUGCGGAAUGCGUGGUGUAGCGGUGAAAUGCAUAGAUAUCACGCAGAACUCCGAUUGCGAAGGCAGCAUACCGGCGCCCGACUGACGCUGAGGCACGAAAGCGUGGGGAUC
RNAcentral lists this ribosomal RNA (238 nucleotides) under uncultured bacterium. Its description in RNAcentral is "partial 16S ribosomal RNA". It matches the Rfam family "Bacterial small subunit ribosomal RNA", at positions 531 to 769 of the family's 1533-position model. The record is from RNAcentral.